This 230-nucleotide ribosomal RNA is filed under the name Hemiselmis andersenii. Its description in RNAcentral is "partial Eukaryotic large subunit ribosomal RNA". It matches the Rfam family "Eukaryotic large subunit ribosomal RNA", at positions 1234 to 1462 of the family's 3401-position model. The record is from RNAcentral. Lineage: Eukaryota; Cryptophyceae; Cryptomonadales; Hemiselmidaceae.
UAAACAGCAGGACGGUGGCCUUGGAAGUCGGAAUCCGCUAAGGAGGGUGUAACAACUCACCUGCCGAAUGAACUAGCCCUGAAAAUGGAUGGCGCUUAAGCGUAUUACCCAUACUCCGCCGCCAGGGUAGAAACGAUGCCCUGGCGAGUAGGCAGGCGUGGGGGUCAGUGACGAAGCCUUGGGAGUGAUCCCGGGUCGAACGGCCCCUAGUGCAGAUCUUGGUGGUAGUA